Molecule: long non-coding RNA, 1475 nt
Organism: Rattus rattus (black rat)
Lineage: Eukaryota; Metazoa; Chordata; Mammalia; Rodentia; Muridae
Exons: 2
Source: RefSeq, a predicted model, not a curated record
CGGGGUCUCUUUAAAAAUCCAGCGCCCAUCUCUGUGCUUCCCUCCCUUUCCUCCCUCCCUCCCUCCUCACUACGCCACCCCCAGCGAAAUCCUGGCACCCAGAGAGCACUCGUUUUCAACCAGAGCCCAGAAACAGCCGUUGUCCCCUGGCAAAAGAGGCCCAGUGCUGAGCCCUGGGCAAGUGUCUCCAGACAUCCCUACCUUUCUCUCCCUUUAUUAAGUCUUCUUUCCCAACAGAACCCAUUUCCUUUGCCACUAAAACUAGGUUGCAUCCAAAAGUUUCUCACAAGCUUAAAAAAGAAAAAUUGACACCAUUAUGCAGAAGAAUUCACAAAAGCUGCAGAGCGCCAGGGCAGAGAAGCAGCGUCAGACACAGGCCCAGGACACACAGAACGGAUGUUUCCAAGUCACUCCAGGGACAGCAUGAGGCUCUCGCUGGCCUGUGUCUCAGAGCUGCUUUCUCCACCUCUUCCUUGUGAAUUUCCUAGACUCUCUACCUCUGGUUCAUGUUCGCUCUCUGGAUAGUUUGUGUGCAAUGAGCCCUUAAAGGAAUAUUGCAAUGAGCUAUAAGAGUUGUGAGCCUGCGGUAGGCAAGGCCUGCACUGGGACAGCAAAGGAAAUUUCAUCGCAUCUGCUCCUAAGUCACAGGUUAUCCAGAGCCCACUUUACCCUGAGAGACAGCCUCUCCCCCACCCCUAGGAAACAGUAGAGCUUAGGAAAAUGAAUGAUUCCACAUUCAAGAGGCUUCAAAUUGUAUACUUGGCAUUUCUGAUUUCAGUUCUGAAAUUCUGUCCCUUAGUCGUGGGGAAAAUAAGAAAUGGAGUUACACCUUGUCAUUUAAAAAACCGUUGAAUUAAGAGAAAUGGAAAAUCAUGCCCACAUAAAACAUGUAUGGAAGUGUUCAUGUUUUGAUCAUGGCUGGGGAUAUAGCUCAGUCCUGGAGUGCUUGCAUAGCAAUGUGCGUAAUCCAAGGUUCAAGCCCCAGCACCAAAAAAGAGAAGUGGGAGGAGUGGAGGCAUUCACAGCAGCGUUUUCAGUAUAGGCGCAAAGGGGAAGGAGUUCAAACACCUACUGAGAAUGGAUAAGCGGAGUGCCUUGUCUAUACUCGGGAUGCUAGUCAUCAGUAGAAAAGUUUGAAAUGAUAGAUACGAUGGAUGAUCCCUUAAACAUCUCCCUAAGUAACAAAGUCAGCCUAGGAAGGCGUAUGUUCCAUAUUUCUGGGAUAUAUGGGCUCACCGAUGCAGAGAAAAGUACAGCCUGGUAUCCUGGAUUGGAGAGACAGACUGGACUUUGGGAGACAACAGAAUGGAACAGAAUUUACUUGAGUGGCGAUGUUCUUGAAUGAACGGAAGUCAUGCUUGCCCACUUGAUGACUGCAUUUACAAACCACUGAAUUUUACUUUUAGUGGGUGAAUUGCAUGGUACCUUCAUUUUAAUCUCAAUAAAGCUGCGAGUAUUUUUAAGAGAUUUCUAAA